GGAGGCGUCUGGGUUCCUGGUGGUCCCCCCGGUCUUCAAAACCGGUGAAGCCGAGCAUCUCGGUUUGGCGGGUUCGAUUCCCGUCCGCCUCCGCCA
RNAcentral lists this transfer RNA (96 nucleotides) under Austwickia sp. RNAcentral describes it as "tRNA-Sec". It matches the Rfam family "Selenocysteine transfer RNA". The record is from RNAcentral. Lineage: Bacteria; Bacillati; Actinomycetota; Actinomycetes; Micrococcales; Dermatophilaceae.